CCGCCAUUUUUUUUUCGAGCACUGAUUGAAAGCGUAUCGUUAUCCGUAUCCGUACGGCGUAUUUUCCUUCCUCAAAUUUUCUUCAUAAAAAUGUAAUUUGUGUGGUAACCUAGCCUAUAAUUUCUACUUGGAAAUUCCAGCUGAUCAUGUGGCCUGAGCAGAACCUGAGCAUCUGUACAUUUUGCCAAGAUGUCGUCUCUUUUUCCUGUACCGGCUGUUUGUAAGAAUCACUUCAGAACAAAUCAGUCUGGGAAAGUCUGAGCUUCGUCGUUGCUGCCAAUGUACACAUGGAUUUAAUGCAGCCAGGUGUUCCUCUUGCUACCUGUACUGCUGUGUGUUUCGUCAAAUGAAGAAACAUGAACAACUGAACAGGAUUAACAUAACAUAUUCGUUGUUGCAGUCUACAUCACACAUUUUGUUUUUGUUUGAACAAUAGCUAUCAGAUAUUGUUUUCCAAAUAUUUGGUUUAUCGUGUUUGUUCGCGUUGUUGGCUUGUUGCUGUCCGCUGUGGUACGUUGUUUCAGCCUCUGCUGGUGAUAGAUCUUUCUGCAUCAAAUUCAAUUAGCCGUUCCUUGGUGCUGGACUGCUGGUGUCGUGGUACCGAAAUCGCAUCAUUAUUUUGUUAAAUUGUCAUCGUGACUGCAGUUUACCGUUAAUAAGUUAAGAAGCAACAAAAACAAAUAUGGGAUGUCUAUGUCAACAAAUAAUAAACAUGUUUUCGGGAUUGGGAAAGGAAAGUGGAGGAUGUUGGAGAGGGGGAGGAUAUUUCAAGUUUGGAUAAAAAAUCAGUUAAUCUAUAACCCUACAAAUGUUGCCCUACCAAUUAAUCUCCAAACCCCACAAACAUAUACCUUCCAAUCCUUCAAACCCCGAAAACAUACACCACUAACCCUUAAAUUUAUACCCUUAACCCUAUAAACCAAUGUUAAACCUUAACCAUGUAAUAUCUGUAAUAAAUAAAAAUAAAUAUAUUAUAUGAACCAA
This is a long non-coding RNA of Daphnia pulicaria, 984 nucleotides long. RefSeq lists it as uncharacterized. Lineage: Eukaryota; Metazoa; Arthropoda; Branchiopoda; Diplostraca; Daphniidae. The transcript has 5 exons. The record is from RefSeq and is a predicted model, not a curated record.